Molecule: ribosomal RNA, 492 nt
Filed under: uncultured bacterium
Lineage: Bacteria
Description: partial 16S ribosomal RNA
Rfam family: Bacterial small subunit ribosomal RNA
Source: RNAcentral
AGUGAACGCUGGCGGUAGGCCUAACACAUGCAAGUCGAACGGCAGCACAGUAAGAGCUUGCUCUUACGGGUGGCGAGUGGCGGACGGGUGAGGAAUACAUCGGAAUCUACUUUUUCGUGGGGGAUAACGUAGGGAAACUUACGCUAAUACCGCAUACAACCUACGGGUGAAAGCAGGGGAUCUUCGGUCCUUGCGCGAUUGAAUGAGCCGAUGUCGGAUUAGCUAGUUGGCGGGGUAAAGGCCCACCAAGGCGACGAUCCGUAGCUGGUCUGAGAGGAUGAUCAGCCACACUGGAACUGAGACACGGUCCAGACUCCUACGGGAGGCAGCAGUGGGGAAUAUUGGACAAUGGGCGCAAGCCUGAUCCAGCCAUACCGCGUGGGUGAAGAAGGCCUUCGGGUUGUAAAGCCCUUUUGUUGGGAAAGAAAAGCAGCAGGUUAAUACCCCGCUGUUCUGACGGUACCCAAAGAAUAAGCACCGGCUAACUUCGUG